Molecule: long non-coding RNA, 1468 nt
Organism: Apis mellifera (honey bee)
Lineage: Eukaryota; Metazoa; Arthropoda; Insecta; Hymenoptera; Apidae
Exons: 3
Source: RefSeq, a predicted model, not a curated record
UAUAUUUCUUUCUUAAAUGCGUAUAUCCGUACGUUCAAUUCGUAGUGUUUUUAUUUUGGUUUUACGCUUGAGUCGAAAUAUUUCAUAUAACAGUUUCGUUUUGUUUUGAUUUUACACUCGAGGAAAGUAUUUCUUAUAACGUCUUUCCACGUCGUGCCAUGUUUGGCAUGUUUCGAUUGUUGCCAAACUUCGAGUAUAUCUUUCUUUCUCUAAUCCAAUUCGAUAAUCGAAAUCGCGGUGCGAAGUGUCACUCUUCUGUGAACAAUCGUGGCGUUCAGACGUUUCAGAUUUCUGAUAUAAUCUACAAGGCGGGAAAAAACUUCCAAUAUGGACGCCAUAAUGAACAUUCGAUGCAUUCAUCAUAAUGGCGACUUGUCAUAAAGAAACGAACGAUCUGGUGCACGCACGUAUUCCGCCAGGCACCAUUUUAUUCCACUUACAUCUAUGAGCGUCUGGCAAGUACCCAAUGCUCGUUGAUAAAACGAAAGCUCUUUGCCUGUCCUUUGUGGCUUUUCUCUUGUGCUUUCGUUCUUGAAAAAAAAAAAAAAAAAAAAAAAAAGAAAUAUAAUUUCGUUAAAGUUACAAUAACAUUCCAUCGUCGUUUCUACUACGAGCACGUAGUAGUAUUCACCAACAUUUGCCCGCGUGCUAAUUGCCGCAAAUAAUUAUCCCAAACGAUUCAGACUCGGACGUUUCGCGCAAUGUAAGAGCGCUAUUCCGAUUUUAUAGCACUUCGAGUCGAAAGUGGAAGAUCUUCUUCCCUCUGUUCAACUAUUUCGCGGUUUUGCCGAGGAAUUUAACGAACGAAACCGUCCCUCCUCGGCGUCGCGGUUUAUUUGCGUAUAAAAAGAAACGUUGUGAAGAGGAAUCGUGAAAUUGAUGAACAGGUUUCCGUGGUAAAUUUAGAAAACGGCUCCUCUACGGAAGUUGGCGACUGUUCGAUAUUCUGGUCGGUUUUCGAUACAAACGACCAACGUGAUGGCUAAGUAUAAGUAACGCCGUUUCGUUGAAAUACAAUAUUCGCUGCAUCCGCAAUUCUCGUCGAACAGUUGUGAAUGCGAUUAAUAGAGCGAAUAACGCGAUAACAUGGAAGAAUUUAUAUCGUCGACUUGAAAAGGUAAGGGUUAAAAGAUGAGUGAAAAAGUUAGAAGUAAAGAAGGCAGGGAAAUAAUAAUAAAGUAUUUUCGUAGAAUUUUAUUAAUAAUUAUUCGUAUCAGGAAUGUCCAAUAAUAAUAAUAUUGCACCAGCUCGAAAAAUGUACAAAAAUUAGAUUUUUAAAACGAAGACGAUUCACUCGUACGAUGGAACGAUAAUUUCCAUGUUAAUUUAACAAAAUUAACUUAUCGAAUCGAUACACUCCCUCCAAAAAUCUUUUUUCUCUUCGAGAAACUUUUUUUCCACGUACGAAUUCGAUUGAAUUUUCACACACGAAAACGAAGAGAAUUUUGCAAAAAAAAAAAAAAAAAAA